GUUUUGAGGAGCCCAAGGAUCUAUCUAUAUUGUAUCUAACACCUAGAGCGGGGUGAAUAGGUGUAAAAGCCAAAAAACCACAAAUCUCAAUGCGAUAAAAAUAAAUGCGAAAAAUAAAAAUCACACCGAGAUUUAUGUGGGAAAACUCCAACUUGGAGUAAAAAACCCACGGGACCAACACGCGAUAACAAUCCACUAAGAAUAAAAGAUUACAAGGUGAUUUACCGAAUCCACGGACUCAAACCUCUCUUUUAUCUUCUCCGGAUCUCGCGCACGCCAAUGGGUUGUCCACGCCCCAC
Molecule: long non-coding RNA, 299 nt
Filed under: Ananas comosus (pineapple)
Lineage: Eukaryota; Viridiplantae; Streptophyta; Magnoliopsida; Poales; Bromeliaceae
Description: long non-coding RNA (ACOM_LNC040349)
Source: RNAcentral